UGGCGCACGGGUGAGUAACGCGUGGGUAAUCUCCCCUGGAGUCGGGAAUAACAUCUCGAAAGGGGUGCUAAUACCUGAUAAAUUCCUGAUGACUCCGGUCAGCGGGAUAAAAGAGGGCUGAGGCUUGCAAGCUAUCGCUCCAGGAUGAGCUCGCGUACCAUUAGCUAGUUGGCGGGGUAAUAGCCCACCAAGGCAAUGAUGGUUAGCUGGUCUAAGAGGAUGGCCAGCCACACUGGAACUGAGACACGGUCCAGACUCCUACGGGAGGCAGCAGUGAGGAAUCUUGCGCAAUGGGGGAAACCCUGACGCAGCAACGCCGCGUGAGUGAUGAAGGCCUUCGGGUCGUAAAACUCUGUCAGAUGGGAAGAAGGUUCCAGGGACGAAGAAUCCCUGGGAUUGACGGUACCGUCAGAGGAAGCACCGGCUAACUCCGUGCCAGCAGCCGCGGUAAUACGGAGGGUGCAAGCGUUGUUCGGAAUUAUUGGGCGUAAAGAGCGUGUAGGCGGCCUAGUAAGUCAGAUGUGAAAUCCCUUGGCUUAGCCAAGGAAGGGCAUUUGAAACUGCUUGGCUUGAGUACGGGAGGGGGAAGUGGAAUUCCCGGUGUAGAGGUGAAAUUCGUAGAUAUCGGGAGGAACACCGGUGGCGAAGGCGGCUUCCUGGACCGAUACUGACGCUGAGACGCGAAAGCGUGGGGAGCAAACAGGAUUAGAUACCCUGGUAGUCCACGCCGUAAACGUUGGGCACUAGGUGUUGCGGGUAUUGACCCCUGCAGUGCCGAAGCUAACGCAUUAAGUGCCCCGCCUGGGGAGUACGGCCGCAAGGCUAAAACUCAAGGAAUUGACGGGGGCCCGCACAAGCGGUGAGCAUGUGGUUCAUUCG
RNAcentral lists this ribosomal RNA (879 nucleotides) under uncultured bacterium. Its description in RNAcentral is "bacterial SSU rRNA". It matches the Rfam family "Bacterial small subunit ribosomal RNA", at positions 96 to 953 of the family's 1533-position model. The record is from RNAcentral.